This 481-nucleotide ribosomal RNA is filed under the name uncultured bacterium. RNAcentral describes it as "partial 16S ribosomal RNA". It matches the Rfam family "Bacterial small subunit ribosomal RNA", at positions 28 to 523 of the family's 1533-position model. The record is from RNAcentral.
GACGAACGCUGGCGGCGUGCUUAACACAUGCAAGUCGAGCGAUGAAGUUUUUUCGGAAAUGGAUUAGCGGCGAACGGGUGAGGAACACGUGAAGAAUCUGCCCUCCACUUUGGGAUAACACAGGGAAACCUGUGCUAAUACCGAAUAUUGAAACAUAAGUGGCAUCACUGAGUUUUGAAAGAAUUUCGGUGGAGGAUGACUUCGCGGCCUAUCAGCUAGUUGGUGAGGUAAUGGCUCACCAAGGCAACGACGGGUAGCCGGCCUGAGAGGGCGACCGGCCACACUGGGACUGAGACACGGCCCAGACUCCUACGGGAGGCAGCAGUGGGGAAUAUUGGGCAAUGGAGGAAACUCUGACCCAGCGACGCCGCGUGCGGGAUGAAGGCCUUCGGGUUGUAAACCGCUUUCAGUAGGGAAGAAGCGAAAGUGACGGUACCUACAAAAGAAGCACCGGCUAACUAUGUGCCAGCCGCCGCCGUAA